This 319-nucleotide unclassified non-coding RNA is filed under the name Ascomycota sp. Its description in RNAcentral is "partial contains small subunit ribosomal RNA, internal transcribed spacer 1, and 5.8S ribosomal RNA". The stretch from base 1 to 47 matches the Rfam family "Eukaryotic small subunit ribosomal RNA", at positions 1785 to 1831 of the family's 1831-position model. Lineage: Eukaryota; Fungi; Ascomycota. The record is from RNAcentral.
AAAGUCGUAACAAGGUUUCCGUAGGUGAACCUGCGGAAGGAUCAUUACCAUAUCCAAAACUUUACCAACCCACCGUGUGAACUGUUUGUGUUGGGUGUUGCAGCCCGACCUAUAUAUAUUUACCAACCACGAUAUUUUUUUCUUGUGGCCGUCAAACCGCCGCCGGAAAGCUUCUUUGGGGUUGGUAAAUUGAAUAACCCCUUUGUAAAACCACUCUUGAAUGAAAACCUGACUUGUGGGGUUCUUUUGAUUUACAAAAAGACCACACGACUAAAACAAAACCAAUAGACAACUUACAACGGUGGAUCUCUUGGCUCGU